Molecule: long non-coding RNA, 1953 nt
Organism: Ctenopharyngodon idella (grass carp)
Lineage: Eukaryota; Metazoa; Chordata; Actinopteri; Cypriniformes; Xenocyprididae
Exons: 5
Source: RefSeq, a predicted model, not a curated record
GCGACGUAACGGCAUGUUCGGCAAAUCAGUGUGGAGGAACUGGACCUAGUGGGCGGAGUCUGACUUCCACAGGGAGCGGUCCGCCAAAUUCAAAUAGCCACUUGAAACAAAGCAAAGGAUAGAUAGACUUCACCAAGCUCUGCGAUUUGGGAAAAUAAGGAUCUCAUGAUGACGUCCACUAUUGUGAGCGGGGUCUGGAGGUCACAUUCUGUCCUCGAUGAGUCAGAGCCUGACAGCUCACCCGAAGCAGCACAGCAGUUUAAGAAGAUGCGAUCCUCCAGCUCGCUAAACUCACUGAGAAUGUCUCUGCGCAAGCGGCUCCCCUUGAAACCAGUGCAGUCUAACGUCAACAUCUCUGAGAACCCCACCUGGGAGUCACUACAGAUGAACCAAAAAGCCAGUGUUGUCCGCAAAAUGACCCGGAGUGCAAAAAACUCCAUUGGAAACGUCUGUCAGAAACUUCAAAGGAGCAGACAGCCACGUCAGGAGUGUCUGGUCAUGACACCACGUAGAACGUCAGAUGGAGAGGAAUGUGAUUGCAUUGGAACAUCACAAACCCCAAAACGAUCUGCUGUCCGCACUACCAUCACCCCCAGGCAAACUCCAAGGUCAACCAGCAAGCGGACUCCUCGAGGGGCCUGUACCCUAGAUGCCAGUGACUCUGCUGUUAGGACAGUGAAGACCAGGGGCACCAGGAGGCAGCUGGUGCGAAUGGCUGCACUCAGAAGCCCUUUUGCAUCACCCAACACAAUGAACAGCAGGAGGCAGUUUGAUGAGGAUCUGGAUUGUGUGUCCAAAGGCCUCCGGAGGCUAAAGCGUCUCUCUCAAGCCUUUGAUGAUGCGAUUGGGAAAGAUGAUCGGGUCCAGGCCUUGGAGCACUACAAAGCGGUCAUGAGCAAGGGCUACAGCUCCACCAAGAUCAACAUUUCCAGAGGACUGAACAGGGCUUCCAUCCAAAAACAGACGCAGCGCAUACAGCAGACUGUAAGCAGCUGGACUGAUGUGGCCAUGUCAAACAUCCGCAACGCCACUUAAAAGAGGCAACUGUUUUCCUUAUGCUAUCAAACAUGUAUGUUGUCUUGUGUUUCUCAGUAUAUGCCAAAAGAGGCCUUGUCUAGUAUUUAGAAGGGACACUUUUCUUAUCUGUCUGUAGCUUUUAAGUGUUUAAAGGGCAACUGAAUAUACUGUAUCACUAUAUGGGAACAUUUGCAUUUAUAGUUGCUGAUUUUCAGAUUUAUGUGCAUGAUUGUAAUUCAUGCACAUUCAUGGCUCAGCAUGCAUGACAUACUGAAGCAUUUAGUAAUGUUAAACUAUUUCUGCUGUGAAAAGCCACCAAAAGAUGUGAAUACUAAAUGUAAGCAUAUUAAAAUGUGUGGAGAGGUCAAGGAAUUAGGAAAAAAUGCUAAAUGUUAUUCACCAAAGACAAACCAUAUUCAGGUUUUUUGUGAAAAUAUCUAAUACCACUACCGAACGCUAAACUGACAUGGUCAUAUACUGUCUUGACUGUGGGAGAUGUUACUAACAUUACUAUGUUUACUAACUGUUUUAACCUAUUUAGUUGAAGUUUAUUAACAGUAUUUUACUACUUUGGUACUUAACUGAGUGUAAUGCAAAGCAUUAGUAUUUGUGUAUAGGGAGGAUAAAAUGCAAAGUAUUCAAUAAUUUCACUAUUUCAUCAAGCAAAUAUCUUGCUAUUGUUGAUAUUAUGAAAGACACCAUAAUCAAAAAUUGUACUCACAAUAUAGUGAUCAAUAUGUAAACAUUACCAAAGGAGAAUAAGAGAAUUCAAGUGUGAUAAUAAAUUGUUUGAGUUUCAAAGUUGAGUUGUUUGAGUUUCAAAGUUGAAAUGUUUACAGUUGUAUCACUGCAUUAUGAUUUGUUUAAAAAAAAAGGACAUAAACAGCAGAAUUGUUUGCUUUUUUUAUAUUUAAUAAAAAAUGUUUCCAUAAUUAA